Molecule: ribosomal RNA, 412 nt
Filed under: uncultured bacterium
Lineage: Bacteria
Description: bacterial SSU rRNA
Rfam family: Bacterial small subunit ribosomal RNA
Source: RNAcentral
AACGAACGCUGGCGGCAUGCCUAACACAUGCAAGUCGAACGAAUGGUUUCGGCCAUUAGUGGCGCACGGGUGAGUAACGCGUGGGAAUCUGCCCAGCAGUGGGGGAUAACCUCUGGAAACGGAGGCUAAUACCGCAUACGCCCCUCGGGGAAAGGCUUGCUGCUGCUGGAGGAGCCCGCGUCGGAUUAGGUAGUUGGUGGGGUAACGGCCUACCAAGCCUGUGAUCCGUAGCUGGUCUGAGAGGAUGAUCAGCCACACUGGGACUGAGACACGGCCCAGACUCCUACGGGAGGCAGCAGUGGGGAAUAUUGGACAAUGGGCGCAAGCCUGAUCCAGCAAUGCCGCGUGAGUGAUGAAGGCCUCGGUUGUAAGACGUCUUUCGUCCCACCGACCGAUGAUGACGGUAGUGGGA